This 56-nucleotide transfer RNA is filed under the name Chromodoris orientalis. Its description in RNAcentral is "tRNA-Ser". Lineage: Eukaryota; Metazoa; Mollusca; Gastropoda; Nudibranchia; Chromodorididae. RNAcentral also lists the same sequence under 1 other name. The record is from RNAcentral.
UUUUGUUAUAUAGAGGUUUUGAAAACCUUUUUGGAGAAAGAAUUUCUCAACAAAAA